GCGACAGUGGCUCAGUUGGAUAGAGCAACGGUCUUCUAAACCGUAGGUCGUGGGUUCGAACCCCACCUGUCGCA
Molecule: transfer RNA, 74 nt
Filed under: Schleiferilactobacillus perolens
Lineage: Bacteria; Bacillati; Bacillota; Bacilli; Lactobacillales; Lactobacillaceae
Also listed under: 2 other names
Description: tRNA-Arg
Rfam family: tRNA
About the family: Transfer RNA (tRNA) molecules are approximately 80 nucleotides in length. Their secondary structure includes four short double-helical elements and three loops (D, anti-codon, and T loops).
Source: RNAcentral